UACGUAGGGUGCGAGCGUUAAUCGGAAUUACUGGGCGUAAAGGGUGCGCAGGCGGUUUUGUAAGUCAGAUGUGAAAUCCCCGGGCUUAACCUGGGAAUUGCGUUUGAAACUACAAAACUGGAGUGUAGCAGAGGGGGGUGGAAUUCCAUGUGUAGCAGUGAAAUGCGUAGAGAUAUGGAAGAACAUCGAUGGCGAAGGCAAUCCCCUGGGUUAACACUGACGCUCAUGCACGAAAGCGUGGGGAGCAAACAGG
RNAcentral lists this ribosomal RNA (253 nucleotides) under uncultured bacterium. Its description in RNAcentral is "partial 16S ribosomal RNA". It matches the Rfam family "Bacterial small subunit ribosomal RNA", at positions 524 to 776 of the family's 1533-position model. The record is from RNAcentral.